RNAcentral lists this ribosomal RNA (319 nucleotides) under uncultured bacterium. Its description in RNAcentral is "bacterial SSU rRNA". It matches the Rfam family "Bacterial small subunit ribosomal RNA", at positions 193 to 507 of the family's 1533-position model. The record is from RNAcentral.
GGGGGACCGCAACGGCCUCACGCGAAUGGAGCCGGCCGAUGUCAGAUUAGCUAGUUGGUGGGGUAAAGGCCCACCAAGGCGACGAUCUGUAGCGGGUCUGAGAGGAUGAUCCGCCACACUGGGACUGAGACACGGCCCAGACUCCUACGGGAGGCAGCAGUGGGGAAUUUUGGACAAUGGGCGCAAGCCUGAUCCAGCCAUGCCGCGUGCGGGACGAAGGCCUUCGGGUUGUAAACCGCUUUCAGCCGGAAAGAAAUCGCCGUUUUAAUACAGACGGUGGAUGACGGUACCGGAAGAAGAAGCACCGGCUAACUACGUG